GUUUUUUUUGUUUGUAAUUUUAUUUGAGCACAAGUCUGUAUUAAUUGAUAAGACUCAGAGACAUUUCAUUUGGAUUGUUGUACCAGACCUACAAAUAUGCCAAUCGGACUGAAUGUGCAUUCAGCAAUAGUAGUCGUAUAGAUGGACCAUAAGUGGCACGCAUCGAAAAGGGCCAAGAUGCUGGCUAAAAAGGAUGUUGUUGUAGCCCAAAAAAAGUACAGCAGCUUGGCUUAUGUAUGUUAGUUGAUAUUAUUGAUCCAUAUACUCUAUAAGUGUUUAUAUGUCUGUUAGUUCUGUACAUUCUUGGUUGAUUGACUCGGUAUUUGAAUCUUGAUACAUCGCUUGUGUACAUAUCUAAAUGGGAGUACACAUUAUGCUGUGUGUGACAUUUGAGUUGGACAUGAAGUGUUCCAAAUAUUCGAAUUCACCUUAAACUGGAUUCUAGUUUCUGAAUUUGAGUAUCGGCAUUUGUAAACCAUAUUCAUAUAUGGCGGUGGAAUACAUCUUUGUCGUCCUUUUGAAGAUAUAUAAAAACACAUAGAAUGAUUUAUAAAGAUUCAUAUAGGAUUACAAAAUGGAUUCGAAUUUAGUUACCAGGGUAAACAUGGAUGCUUAUUAUCCCAAAAUUCGAAAGAAGCAGCAAAAUGUCCACUCCCACGUCGGCUGCCCGAAGCCAAGUGUUUGGGAGAUGGAAAUUAUUGUCUACCCAUUACACAGACAAUCCAUCGGCCCGAUUUCCACUGCUCUAAAUAGGGGUAGGUUAGUAACUUCAAUUAGACGUGACACGACCGCCUCUGAGCCCAUUCCGACACGGUGGGCGUCAAACAUGGGCGGCAAAACUCAUUUGAUUCAAGCUCGUCCAAAAGACCUCUGUUUCUCCCUCCAUUCCCUAUUCAUACACGGUGGGCGGCAAAACAAACUCGACUCGGCCGAAAUCGAUGUAGGCAAAUAUUUUCAAUAGGGACGGGUUUGUAACUUCACUCAGACGUGACACAACCGCCCUACCUAUCAGCCCCGUUCAUACACCAUGGGCGCCAACCACCCUCUCCUCGCCCGAAAUCGCUCUAGGCAAAUAUUGGCAAGAUGCGAGAUUACCGUCCUAUCCCCAACUGACGAACGUCCAAAUUUUAAACGGGGGCUAAGUUCGUAACUUUCCCAUAUUUCAGACAGGCGCGUCCCAAAAACAUGGUUCCCUGUACCUCUCCCUCCAUUUUCCCAUUCAUACACCGUCCGCGCUAGAACACCCCAUCCCCACACCAGCCUCCGUCCGCCACCCCAUCCAUCGCCGCCGUCCUCCACCACAUCCAUCGCCACCGUCCUCCACCAUGCCGGAGCGCCCACCAAGACCGCGUCGUCCACUGCUAGAGAUGGACGUUUCUCAUCCACGGCGACGGACCAAUAGCCUUGCAUCGCGUCCUCUCGCUUCAUCGGCGUCGUCGUCCUCUUUGCCGGGGCCACUCACACGACCUUAUCUUCCACCAUAACGGGACUUAUCCCCCGAUGCACCCGUCUACCGUCGUAGAUCUGCUUCAACGCCACCGACAGCCAUCGCACCCCCAAUGCCUACACGGCGCCGCAAGAGAGGUGGUACUUCAUAUCUCCUCAACUUUUUGAUCUCAACCAGAAAAUAGAUCUUAACUUGGUUACUCUACUUUCUUUUCAGCUCUUAGAAUUUAGUUCUUAGUUUGAAGCAAACAAUGGAUGCUAAAUAUCAUUUCUCCAGUUUGCAGCUUCAAAUCCGCCAUGGCACAGCCAUAAUAUGAUUUAAUUGAUCAUGCUUAGGGUUUAAUUGAUCAUGUUGGUUCCGUGGUGGUUUCUUUAAUAGAAAUCGGAGGGGAAACCCUCUUUUGCUAAAAAAAUAUGCUUAGAGUUUCCCCCUUUUAUGAUCACUAUAUGAUCAGAAUACGCGCUUCGUGUCAUAAUAACACUGCUCCACCCAUCAAGCUAAACAAGCUUAGUUGUUCAAAUACGAAUCUGAUAUUAUUAAAACAGAGUUGUUUAAUUGGCCAGCUAAAUGUUCCUAAAUUAGUUUCAAAAAUGCAUGUUCGCCGCUCGGGUGUGUAUCUCUACAGGGUGCCCACAGUGGGCCAGCCCACCCUGGGAUUUUGGGUCGUCCCAGGCCCUAAUUCCCCUAUGUUCUACUGCGCGCUUCCGAUUUCUACUCGCCCCCAGCCGCCUGCCUCGUCGGUGACUUGCCGUCCUCGGACGACAUGACUCUAGGAGGAGACGCCGGACUAACAGGAGGCCAGGAGCCGCUCGCCCAACAGCGUCACCGCUGCCCAGGCGCGCUGCCGUGCCUACCUUCCCAGUCCGUUCAGGGCUCAGGCGUGCAGCACCCACCAAGCCAACCCGAUUUAUCCUGAGAUACGUCCUCAACACUCAGCAACCACUCCUCACCACCCAUUUUCUAAUUGAUUCAUUACUCAUUAGGCAGGACUGUCAUUAGGGUUUGUUGUGUGCUCAGUGCUACCUACACUUAAUGGUUCAGAUGUAUUUCGGUAAUCUUUAGUACCUCUAAAGUUCACAUGGUUUUCAAAAUUCCGGCCCUCGGAACAGAAACUAGUCAUUUUGGAUUGUUGGUCGUAGUGACAUUGACCCAGAUUACUACUGCAAGCCAGGUUUAUUGACAAUUUUACUUGUCUUUCUUACUUAUUCGAUAUAAUAUCCAAUUAUUCACGUUGAUUAGUUGUAAACAAUAAGUGCUAGACAAACUUCUUCAUUCAGAUUUUGGACGAUCUCUUACUGCAGUUACAAUUCUGCAUACUUGUCCUAGUAAGCUUACAAGUAAAUGAUUGAUUCACUACAUCUAUGCUUGCCUUGUCAUAUUUGUUGUCAAUAUUCUUUUAGGGUGGACCACCCUGUUUCUAAAUACUGGAACCAUAGACAUGAGUGAAUAGUAUUUCUCUAUGUGAUCUCUUCCAUCAUGUGUGGGUAACGAACAUUGCAUUGUAUAGAAAGAAAGUGUCAUUUCCAGCUUUUACAUAGGUUUCAAUCUUUUACAUGGAAUACAAUCUGCCUACUUGCUUUGUGUCGCACUACCAACACUCCACCCUUGAAGCUAAACAUUACGCCACUCAUAAUUGCUUAGUUUAUUUGUUCAAAUACGAAUUUCAUAUGAUUCUAAUGUUCCUACUUUAGUUUUGAAAUGUGUGCCUGCCUGUUAUAGAGACAUAAGAGGUUUGUAUUUCUGUGUGUGGUCUGGUCAGGACGGUUGGGGAGGUGAACUUUGCAUAUGCAGGGUUUUAUAGGGAGACACUCUCCGAGUUGAAUCUGCAAUGCAUUCCAUAGAUAAUCUGACUACUUUUUAUGUUUUCAUGAAUCUCAGAUUCUGAAUAGCAUCAUAAUGAUUAUGAGCUUGCGCGCAUGAAAAGAAUAAAGCAGAACAAUGCCAUGGCUGUCAAACUUGGCAUUAAGGGACUGAAAUCAAGUCUGGAUGCAAUGCAAUGCAAACGCUCUCCACCUACAGAUUCAUGCUUAGAAUAUGAUCCUAACAGUGAUUCUGAGCUAGAGGGAGACCUAAGUCAAUGUAGCUCCCUAGUGGAGGAGUCAGAGGAAGAUGUCCUAUCUUAUUCACCCAUCAAGGUACUUGCUCUAACUUUCCAAGGUUACAUUGCCCGCACAUAUCUUGCAACUGAUGCGUUGCAUUGCUUCUACUUUGUUGAACUGCCAUUAGGUUAGUUUACACAUCGUGUAUGUGAAUACGCCCUGCCUAUCCAUUUUCAGUACAUAUUCCAUCUGUCAUCAUACCAUAUUUAUCCAUUCAAAUGUUGCUCUUGUGUAUCAGACGUUCAAAAGAAAGAGGGUGAUUGCUGAUCGUGGAGGAGCACAAGCAAAGUAUUUGGAAAAGGUAGUGGCACCUGAUAAAUCAAAUAGCCCAUUAGGUGUAGUUGCAAUAUCACCUGACCCACAAAAUACCCCAACUCUAGCAGACUCUAGCCCUACUACACUGGUCAUUUCUGAUGCCCCAACUCAACAGACCCCAACUACAGCAAACAAUAUGAUUAUGCCAGUUGACAUAGCACCAGCUGUACGACGCAAAAACCCCAUUCCAGCAAAGAGUACACCAAAUCCAGUUGCCAAAUCCCUUUUCGAACCAGAGAGAGCCCCUCCAAUGAAGUGUGAGUAGUUUACCUCAGACCUACGGGUCCAUAGUUAGUAGCUAGAUGGCUUCUUCUCUCUUUUUGGAUCUCAAUACAAUUCCCCCUCUCUUGUGGAGAUCUAUUCGAUGUAAUCUUCUUUUUGCGGUGUGUUUGUUAAGACCGAUGAAUUGUGGAUUUAUGGUCAAGUCUAUCUAUGAAUAAUAUUUGAAUCUUCUCUGAAUUUUUUUAUGUAUGAUUGGUUAUUUUUGCAAGUCCCUUCGAAUUAUCAGUUUGGUUUGGCCUAUUAGAUUGAUCUUUCUUGCAAUGGGAGAAGUGCUUAGCUUUGGGUUCAAUCUUGCGGUGUCCUUUCCCGAUGACAGUAAGGGUAGCAAGGCACGUAUUGUAUCGUUGCCAUCGAGGGUAACAAGAUGGGGUUUUCUUCAUAUUGCAUGAGUCUAUCCCUCUACAUCAUGUCAUCUUGCUUAAGGCGUUAUUCUAUUUUUAACUUAAUACUCUAAAUGCAUGCUGGAUAGCGGUCGAUGAGUGGAGUAAUAGUAGUAGAUGUAGGCAGGAGUCGGUCUACUUGUCUCGGACGUGAUGCCUAUAUACAUGAUCAUACCUAGAUAUUCUCAUAACUAUGCUCAAUUCUGUCAAUUGCUCAACAAUAAUUUGUUCACCCACCGUAGAAUACUUAUGCUCUCGAGAGAAGCCACUAGUGAAACCUAUGGCCCUCGGGUCUAUCUUUAUCAUAUUAAUCUCCUACUACUUAGUUAUUUACUUUGCCUUUAUUUUACUUUGCAUCUUUAUCAUAAAAAUACCAAAAUUAUUAUCUUAUCAUAUCUAUCAGAUCUCACUCUCGUAAGUGGCCCUAUAGGGAUUGACAACCCCUAUUUGCGUUGGUUGCGAGGAUUUAUUUGUUUUGUGCAGGUACGAGGGACUCGCGCGUAGCCUCCUACUGGAUUGAUACAUUGAUUCUCAAAAACUAGGGAAAAUACUUACGCUACUUUGCUGCAUCAUCCCUUCCUCUUCGGGGAAAAACCAACGCAGUGCUAAAAGAGGUAGCAAAGAAGCAAAUCUCUCCACACUGUUCCUUUUGACUACUGACGCGAGACACCUUAUGCAGAACUUCGAAGAGGUAUCGAUCAGCAACGUCAAACGGAACUGAAAUAAAAUGACUCAUGAAUUGGCCACCUGGGCAAGAUCAGGGGAUGUGAUUUGUGUGGCAGAUGUCCCACGGGAUCUAAGAGCAAGUCUAGCAAAAGAUCGUAAUCCAGUCCUUGGGGCGAUGUAAGAUGGCUUUAUGCCUUUUUUCUCAAAAAAAGAGAAUAUCCAUGACAUUUCGAUCACAAGAUGUGUUGCUCCCACUUUCGAACAGAAAGAAGUCGACUAUAUUAUUCCGGCGACUCGGGUGUGUGUGGAUUGUCAGACAUGUUUCAGUGUAGAAGACAUAGCAUCUCUGGACAUGUUUUGUUUCCAAGAAAUUUUGAAAAAAUGCACCACUGAUUUAUACAAGGAGUAUCAAUUCAAAUUGAAUGUGCAAUUGCUUUAUGCAUAAUAUCCAACUUUUUUUCAGGUACUCCUUUGUUGGCUUUCGGAUCUAAAUGAUUUCAAAGCUCAACUCCAAUAUGACCAGGAGCGUGAACAAAAAAAAUCCAUUGGCUGUCGGGAAGGCGCUAUUUGGUUAUCCUAAAGCACUGCGUUCAGAAAACUUAAACACAUGACAAAAAAAACUUAAAACUCCAGAAGGGUGAAGAGGAUAAUCAAAGACCAACAGUGCUAGGAGUUGGCACAUCUCUAGUUCUAUUGUUUUAUUUACUUCAUUCAAGAACUAGUAUUCAAAGUCGUUCCAGUCGGGAAUUAAGUCUAGAGGCACCUGAGGCAUUUUAAAAAAUAUAAGAAUUUCAACAGUUUUGAUAUUAUUUUUGUUGCGAUCACGUAUGGAACUUUAACAAAUGACUUCAGUGUUUUCUUCUAGAGUAAAUAAAUAUAAUGCUAUCAACGUAAAAAUAAAAUUUGAUUAUCAACUUCCAUGUGAAACCUGAUCCCUUUGAGAAUCUUAACACAUGAGUAUAACAUUAGACCAUGUUCAUUAAAAAUGUUUCAACUUUUAUAUAGGAUGGAAUGCCAAAACGUCUUAUAUUUAAAAAUAAAAUUUUUUCUUCAAAAAACUUAACACGCCAGUAUAACAUUAGGCCAGAAGGAUAAUGGUAUCUUAGGCCAGAAGGAUAAUGAUAUCUUAGCCAGGUAAGAGUAUAGGGUUCAAGUUCUGAUGCUUGCAUUUUUUUCUUCUUCAAUCUACGUUCAGUGCUUCUACGUUCAGUGCAAGUAGACGUUAUGCCGGCUUGGUAAAAUCUGAAGAUGAUAUUCCGGCUUAGUUUUUCAGAUAUGCUCAAUGCGGUAGGGUCUAUGUGCGCGUUUGAUAGGUGGCUAAUGUGGUAGGGUAUGUGUUCGUUGAGUGUAUAUGCGCCUUCUGCACUGUGUUAAAAAGUUUCACUUUUAAACGUCUUACAUUAUAGCUUGUAAACUUACAUUACAGGACGGAGGCAGCAGCAACAUUGUUUUGUACGCGCAUUGGUAUUUUCAGUAAUUAGGGUAUGAAUUGCUUGCUCGUGACAAAUUUGUAGCAGCGCAAACAUUUGCUACAUGCUGAAAAUUGCGUGCUGCUUCAUAAUAAUUUGUUUUCUAACUAAGAGCCAUGCUGUCGGUAACUAAAAACCAAGCAAAUAAGGUUGAAAUCAUUUUAUGUCGCCAGGAAUAAUUCUGAGGAUGUACGUAUACAAAAAAAAAGAUGGCCCAUACAGGUCUCGAACCUGUGACCUUCGCGUUAUUAGCACGACGCUCUAACCAGCUGAGCUAAUAGGCCUUAUUGCUACGUUGGGAUGAAAAUGUUUAUAUAAACAAAGUCGGAGGAACCAUUGUGAAGGAAGCAGGUUCCUCACCUGCCGCGCACCGACUGCUCCGGAUCCUCCAACGCACGACCUAGUACACCACAGCGACCGCGGAGGCCCUCCAGGCUCCGGCGCCAGCCUUAUCUAUCUGCGUAUCUGCAAUCGACGACGUUCCGCCCGGGGGAAGAAGGGAAUAUCUGUAUCUAUCUGCAGUCGACCGUCGACGCUCCGGCCGGGGGAAGAGAGGAACCAGGGAAGGACGGGAGACCGUACGGGGCUGAACAUUCAAGAGUACAUGGCAUAUCAUAUCGCGUUAUUUAUGUUUUCACCACAUGGAUCUGUGGCCUGCUGUACAUACACACAAGGACACGGAAAGCAUCACAGGUGGGUGCAGCUCCGCCCCUGCGAGAUCCACCGACGACGGACACACGGCGAUCUAGGACAUCUUGACGUGCUCCAUGCGCUGCCUCUCCAUGUACUCGAAGAGGCUGCCGUCGUACAUCCGCCGGAUGGCCUCCC
This 7486-nucleotide long non-coding RNA is filed under the name Triticum aestivum (bread wheat). Its description in RNAcentral is "long non-coding RNA (TAES_LNC021136)". The record is from RNAcentral. Lineage: Eukaryota; Viridiplantae; Streptophyta; Magnoliopsida; Poales; Poaceae.